This 112-nucleotide ribosomal RNA is filed under the name Caerostris darwini. Lineage: Eukaryota; Metazoa; Arthropoda; Arachnida; Araneae; Araneidae. The record is from RNAcentral.
AACGGCCGUACCAUGCUGAAUAUACCGGUUCUCGUUAGAUCAUCGAAGUUAAGCAUCAUUGGGCGCGGUCAGUACUUGGCUGGGUGACCACCUGGGAACACUGCGUGCCGUU